This 1197-nucleotide ribosomal RNA is filed under the name Rhizopogon truncatus. Its description in RNAcentral is "eukaryotic LSU rRNA". The stretch from base 768 to 922 matches the Rfam family "5.8S ribosomal RNA". The record is from RNAcentral. Lineage: Eukaryota; Fungi; Basidiomycota; Agaricomycetes; Boletales; Rhizopogonaceae.
GGUGGUGGAGCUGUUGCUGGCCGAAAGGCAUUGUGCACGCUCUUCUGUACUUUUGUUUUUUCACCUGUGAACUUAAUGGGCUCGGUAAGUGGCUCUGAUCUCCUUCGGGAUUGAGAAAGGGCUAUGAUAACGAGUCAAAUCGUGGGCUUGGUAAGUGGCUCUGAUCUCCUCCGGGAUUGAGAAAGGGCUGCGAUAACGAGUCUGCGUAUGUAUGUAGGUUUGGUAUGGUCUAGAGAACAAAUAUAGGUCCGCGUUAAAGUUGAAGGGCUCUGAUCUCCUCCGGGAUUGAGAAAGGGCUAACUUUAUGCGCUCGCGAGUCUUGCUCGUGAUAACGGCCUAUGUAGUAUAUAAGUCCGCGCGUUAAAGUUGAACUAUGCUAGUGCGCUCUGAUCUCCUCCGGGAUUGAGAAAGGGCUAACUUUAUGCGCUCGCGAGUCUCGCUCGUGAUAAUGGCCUAUGUAGUAUAUAAGUCCGCGCGUUAAAGUUCUAGUGUGCUCUGAUCUCCUCCGGGAUUGAGAAAGGGCUAACUUUAUGUGCUCGCGAGUCUCGCUCGUGAUAACGGCCUAUGUAGUAUAUAAGUCCGCGCAUUAAACUAGUGGGCUCUGAUUGAGAAAGGGCUAACUUUAUGCGCUCGCGAGUCUCGCUCGUGAUAACGGCCUAUGUACUAUCUCGAAACUAUGCUAGUCGCCUCUUCCGAGGCUACGAGAACAAGCUUGCUUUCAUAUAAUCUUCGUUUAGAAAGUCCUAGAAUGUUUUUAUUAUUAUUACAACUUUCAGCAAUGGAUCUCUUGGCUCUCGCAUCGAUGAAGAACGCAGCGAAACGCGAUAUGUAAUGUGAAUUGCAGAUCUACAGUGAAUCAUCGAAUCUUUGAACGCACCUUGCGCUCCUUGGUAUUCCGAGGAGCAUGCCUGUUUGAGUGUCAGUGAAAUUUCUCAACCUCUCUUCUUAAUUGAAGAGGGUGCUUGGAUACUGGGGGUUUGCCAGAGACCUUUAUUGGACUUGGGCUCUCCUAAAAUGUAUUGGCUUGCGGGUCGACGACUAUUGACUUUGCGCGACAAGGCUUUCGGCGUGAUAAUGAUCGCCGUGUGCUGAAGUGCAUUGACUUUGGUUAAACUGUCCGUGCCUCUAAUAUUCACUCGAGGGGUUGACCUUUCACGGGUCCUCCUUGACGAUUUUGACUAAAUGACCUCAAAUCAG